UGAUAUUUGAUCACUUGGUCUUGCAGAUAUAAGUCAUGCACGUGCAAAAGGAUACCUGUACCUAAAAAGAAACAAAAUCUGAAUUCCAAAAUGGAUGUUGUUCAAUGAAAUGUGCAGGAUCUUAAAUCUUGGCUCUGCUGAAGAGAUGCUUCUUGGUGCCUGGAUUCUGGAGUAUCUUCUCAGUGGAAAGGAACAUGGAGUUCCCAAUUCCCUCACAUGGUUUCUGAUGCAAGUAAAGGAGUUUGCAGAUCUGAAGAUCUUUUUGAGGUGUGAUGUUCCUGUGGUGCUGUUCUCGCUCUGGGCAGUGAUGCACAGCAGGGACUUAUCCAGAUGGUCUGAGGAGGAGCCACCUCACCAGUGUAAGACUGUAAGAGCUUCUUCACCCUGUUUUGGUCCAAGUUCCUGAGCUGGUAUCUCUGCACAACGUGUUGCUCAUCAAACACCCCAGCUGUCCUCAGGUGAGCCCGUUCCAGCUCCCCAGUGUGUGUUGUGAUGCUCUGACUGAAUUACCUUCAUUACACCUUGGGUAGUGGUUUGUACCUUGGCAAUGCUGCUUUCUCCAUGUCCCACUGGCAGUUCAGG
This 582-nucleotide long non-coding RNA is filed under the name Manacus vitellinus (golden-collared manakin). Its description in RNAcentral is "lncRNA (ENSMVIG00005009368.1)". Lineage: Eukaryota; Metazoa; Chordata; Aves; Passeriformes; Pipridae. The record is from RNAcentral.